CGGCCAACUCCCGCCCCUUCGCCUGCCUGGUGGCACCGCGAGAACCCAGGGCCGGCCUGUGCGGACCUCCUCCUGGGCCUCCUGCCCCUUUUCCCCGCCGUCCAAUCAGAUCGGGCGAGGGGCACGGGGCCUCGAGAGCCCGUAGGCGGCGGCCCUGCGAACCGAGCAGUAACGACUGCGGCUUCCAGAAGUCCCGGCGAGUAACGGUCGAUACGAAUUCUGAGUCUUCGCUCUAGGGAAGAUGAGACGGUCGCCAGUUUCUCCGGCUCUUCGUCCGGGGCCUCGACAUUCCCUUACCUGCUUCCCCUCAGGGGAGUGACGAGCUAGGCCUGCUCUCCGCCCUUCUCUUUGGGGGCUCUCUACGAGCCUCUGUAUACUGUCCAGGUGACAGGGGUGACAAGAGAGACAGUGCUCACUUAUUAUUGUUGUUGUUGAGAGACAUUACUCAUUUAUUAUUGUUGUUGUUACCAUUAUUAUUUUGAAAUCUCCUCUGCCCUAGAAUUGAGCUUCUUGAGAGUAAGAACUCCGGUUCGUCGUCGUCACCCACCGCUUACCGCAGUGCUGAGGGUUCGCCAGGCGCUAGCAGUUUGCUGAAGAGAGUGGGUGUUUAUAGUGAAAAGAGAAGUGAGUUGGAAAUUAGAAAACCUGGCUUCGCGCGCCUCCCUCGCCAUCUGCCGCCUGGCGCGGCGCCUCUUGAGGUCUCCCCGCCUAGGCCGAGGCUCUGCUCGCCGUUCUGGAAGGUGUUGAGAAGAGUGUAGCGGUAAGAGGAUAGUGUCUGGACCUAAACCCCUUGUGAGGUGAGGCAUCUGUUAACUUUUCUCUGCCUCUCUUUGCACACCUAUAAAACGAAGAUGACAGGAAGUCCAUCAUAGGUUUUUCGAGAGAAUCAAAGGAGAUGGUGGGUGUGAAAGGGGUCUGUAAACAAUUCCUGUGUAGGUGUGAGAUCUUCCUUCACAAUUCGGUUAGCAAGACAAAACAUACCCUCAUGUGUGUAAAUAACCUUACAAAGUGUUUCUUCGAAUGCAGAAUAAUCAGGGAGGGGCAACUGAAGGAUAUGUAUUGACAAGACCCAGAAAAGGACAUGUUAACCAAGGAAAGAGCUGCCUUUGAGCCAGGUCUUAAAUAGAGUGGACCAAAUAUAGUCUGUGGUUCCAGCCCAAUGACCGAUUUUUCAAAGCAGCGGCUUAAAUCCACUUAGACCAUUGUUCUGAGACUGUCAAGAUAUUUCAGUUUUCCAGACCUUAAAGGAGAAAUGAAAUAAUCUUGUUACUCUAUGAUUUGGAUGGUUAGCAGGAUCUAUGGUUUGUUGUGUUUACCCAGCAUGUGAAGAGGUGCGAAGCAACUCUAUUUUCUUGUUAUCACAGAAACCACUUAAUAUGUGACCUUUCCAGCAUGAAUGCUAGGCAGACUUUACUGGCACCAUUACCUGGACUAUUUUUGGUUUUCUUUUUUCUGCCCCAAUCCUUCUUAAUCUUUUCUGUGAUAUAAUAAUGAUAACUAAGACUUAUUUAAUGUUAAGUUUCUAACAUGUACUCCAAUAAUCCAAUGAGGCAAGUACUAUUAUUAUCCCCAUAUUCAUAUAAGAAAACUGAGGCAUAGAGAAGUUAGAUAAUUUACUCAAGGGCCCACAGCUAGUGGAAGGCAGACCCUGGAAUCAAACAAUUUUUUCUGACUCUGGGACCUUAACCACUAUAUUCUGAGAAAGAGAAAAGCAGUCCCUGACAUCGAGUAGCUGGAAUGGUGCUAUCAGCUAGGUCUUUCUGUUGCUAGGAGCUGGCCUGGCACAGCUAGGCUUUGGUAUCUUCUGUUGAAUAUAAACUGUUUCAGGGAACAUCAGCAUCAGAAAAGGCCAUUUCAUGAUUGUGAUGGAUCAGGACAAAAAUAAGACUACUCCAUAAUCAUAUCUGAACACAGAGAAAAACAUGAACCUUAUCUAAGCCAACAAAUGAAAUACACAGACUGAAAAUAUCAGACUAUAUGAGGGGCUGUUACUUCUUUACUAAUUACAGCUUUAUCCUCAUUCUAGUCUUCCCUUUUUCUAUAUAAUAUUUAUUAAGGGGGACUUCCUUGGUGGCAUAAGGGUUAAGAAUCCGCCUGCCAAUGCAGGGUACACGGGUUCGAGCCCUGGUCUGGGAAGAUCCCACAUGCUGUGGCGCAGCUAAGCCCAUGCACCAUAACUAUUGAGCCUGCACUCUAGAGCCCACAAGCCACAACUACUGAAGCCUGAGUGCCUAGAGCCCGUGCUUCACAACAAGAGAAGCCACUGCAAUGAGAAGACCGCACACCGCAACGAAGAGUAGCCCUGCUUGCCGCAACUAGUGACAGCCCGUGUGCAGCAACGAAGACCCAAUGCAGCCAAAAAAAAAAAAAAAACUCUAAAACAAAGAUUUAUUAAGGUACCCAAUUAUAGAAUUACCCCUGCUUCCUGACAGCAUCCAAUUUAGAGCAAAUCACCCAACAAACCCAAAUCUUAAUGUAAGUCCUUUCUAACACCCUCAUAUUGAGAUGCCUCAUGGUUCCCCAUAGUGUGUGUUCUCCCUUGCUGCAGUGAGUAGUAAGCUUAGCUUGUUCAGCCACCGGUGUGUUCCUGGUGUUUGGCUAGAGAGCAUUGAUAAUUCUUUCUGGACUGUCUUAUACCACACAUGUAUAUGGAGUGGAAAGCAUACUGCUUAGUCAUUUCUCGCCACAGAAAUUGGGAACUGCCCUCCCAUCUCCAUCCAUUUGAUUUUCACACCAAAGCUAGAGGGUUACCUUUCUUUUUGUAGAUUCUACAUAGAUUCUCUGCUAAACAGAACCUUAUCAAAAGAUAGUGAAAAGAAACAAAUGACGCUGGAAUAGUUGCACAUCAUUUUGCAAGAAGAAAAAAGAACUUCAGCCUGUUAACCCAUACCGUGCACCGUAUGCAAAAUAACUCAAAAUAGAUUAUAAAUUUAAAUGUAAAAUUAUAAAAUGUUUAGAAGAAAACUUGGAAAAUUUUUGUCAUCUCUGGUUAGGCAAAAAAAUUUCUUAGCUACAACACCUAAAGCACAAUCCAUAAAAGAAAAAAUAAUUUAAUUUAUAAAAACUUAUGUUCUUUGGAUGAUAGUUAAGAAAAUGAAGCAGCAGACUAGGAGAAAAUAUCUGCAAAACAUAUCUGAUAAAUGACUAUAUACAGACUAUACGAAAAACUACAACUCGAUAAAAAAAGCAAGUAAACUAAUUUUUUAAACAUUGGCAUAAUUGAAUGACCACAAGAAAUGGUGCUCAGUGUCAUUAGUCAUGAGGGAAAUGCAUAUCAAAACACAAUGAAGUAUCACUACGUAGUUAAAAUAAUUCCAAAUGCUGUUGAGGAUGUAGAGCAACUGGAAUUCCCAGACAUUACUGGUGGGAAUACAAAAUGAUAGAGACAGGAAAAUAAUUCGGCAGUUUCUUUUAAUGUUAAAUAUACACUUGCCAUAAGACCCAGCAAUCCCACUCCUAGAUAUUUACCCAAGAGAAAUAAAAACUUCACAAAAAACCUGGACACACAUUUUCUAAUAGCCAAAACCUGGAAGCAAUCUAAGUGCCCAUUAAUUGGUGAAUGGAUAACAAAUUGUGGUACAUAUAUACAGUGGAAUCUACUCAGCAAUAAAAGGAGCAAACUACUGAUACAACAACAUAAAUGAUCUCAGAUGUAUUAUUCUAAGUGAAAGAUGUAAACUCAAAAGUACAUACUGAUGCUUCCAUUUAUAGGACAUUCUGGAAAAGCCAAAAUUAUAGAGGGGAAAAAAACAGAUCAGUUGUUGCCUAGGCAUUGGGAGGGGUUGACUGCAAAGGGGCUUGAGUGGGCUUUAUGCGGGUGAUGGAACUUUUCUAUAUCUUGAAGUGUGAUGUGGAUUAUAUAAUGUGUGCAUCUUUCAAAACUCAUAGAACUGUACACUAAAAAGAGCAGUUUGGUUGUAUGUAAAUUAUAUUUCAGUAAGCCUGACUUUAAAAAGAAAAAUGUUGAAUGGGAAAAAAGUUGGGAUGAGGCAGGGCCACCCAGUACCAUGAAUAUGAAGACAUUAACAGUAGCUCCCCAGAUACUAAAUUCUAAAUCUAAAAAAAGAAAAGAUAAAUUAUUAGUGGAUAAUCCACAUCAUGAAAGAACUUGUUCUUUCCUUUUUGUGCAGUAACAAAGUUCAUAGAACAUUGAAAUUUUUUUUACAAAUGAGGAACUCCUUGGUUUAUAGUGGAGUAACUUAAAACUGAAGUUGAAAGUCACUGCUGGCUGAUGGUCAAUCACAGAUGAAUAUAAAACAUCUCUGAUAUCAUCAGAACUGUGGGAAAAUAAAACUGCAUUUCAAAAACUCUUACAGUUUAUCAGGAACAUGUUUAUUGCACAAAUGAGGUUCCUGUACUAUACUGUAGAGGUAAGGGCAUUUGAGAGCAGAAAGUAACCAAUAGUGGUAAAUAGUGGUGAGCAAUUAGGCAAAAACGUAAGAGCAAAUAGAGCAUCUUUAAACUCAGGUCAUAAUUACUUAAAUUACCAUGAAGUUGGACCCUUUAAGAGCAUAAAUGGCUGCUCUGCUUUAGACCUUGGGAAAGGGAAUGAGGAUGAGAGGGAAUAAACUAGAAUGAUUUAAAAUGUGCAAAUAUAUUUUGUAACCCCUAUCAUGUGAUUUAGAGAUCUAGCAGAGAUACAGGUGGAUUAAUUUGAGAUUAAUUUCACAGUUCAUGCUAAUAAUUCUACUAUUGGAAGUCUAUAAUAAUCUCUGCCACAGUAGACAAAGUUCUCUCUGGCUAGUAGAAACAGCCAUCCUGGGCCUUACCCAUCAGUUCUCAGAAGGCCUGUUGUUGAUGGACUUUCUAAUUUCCUGUUUCUCUAGUGGCAGUUGUGGCCACAGUCUUCAUUCUGCUUAAGUGCCCCAGGCUCCUAAGAGACCCUUAGAGAAGACAGCAUAGUACCUGGAAACCUUCCAGUUUCAAUUAGAGAAUUCAGUCUCACUCAUAGUUCCCUGGGUGAGUACGAAACUUCAUCAGACAUGCCAUAGAACUGUCUCUCUGCUUAAAGGGUCUCAGUGAGCCAGGUUGGUUUAUCUACCAACUCUUCUGGCAUCAGUAGCUACUGUUGUCUUUGUUUUCCUGAAGUUUCUUAAGGACUCUGCCAAGGUAACUUUUUCCUGAUGCAGUAAAACUUUGGGGUCAGGGAUUGCAUAUCUAGGAUGUCUUUGGGGUCAACCGGUUGCACUUUCAUAUUUUUCAUAUAGCCAUCUUUAAUUUGUAUAAUCCUAGUCAGGGACUCCAUACCACCAGACUUCCCUAGCAUCUCUUCCCCCUGCUCAGCCACAGUGAACUGUAAAAAACUGCAUCUUAUUUACCCCCCGUUUUUUAGUCAUGAGUUCAAGUUCAUCUUUGGCAUUAGUUCUGUUUCCAGCUCUGCAAUUCUCUCCAAGUCUCCUAACCUGGACCUGCAACAGAGAGUCUAUAAUUGUUGAAAGAUUCUAUCUUAUCCUUUCUGUCAAUUGCUAAGUUUGGUCUCCUUUUCUUCUUUCAGCCAUUGAAGGUUUGUCUGACUCAUCUCUCCCUAUGACUUCGAAUUUUCGCAAGCUGGAUGUGGUCUGCAUUUUUCGCAUUCCCUCCUCUAACCCCUCCAUGGUCAGAAGAGACAGUGCAAGCUACAGUGUGUACACUGAAGGUGAUGUUCUCUCUUCUCAAUAGUUCCUAAAAGGAGGGAUUUCAGUUAUGAAAGGUGAAGAGAAAGCCUGAGGAUACCUAGCAUCUUAAAUCAAGUCCUCUGUAACCAGGGAGGACCCAAUGAGAAAACAGUCAUCUGCAACACAGAAGAGGGCCCUCACCAGAAUCCCACCAUGCUGUCAUCCUGAUCUCAGACUUCCAGCUCAGAACUGCAGCUCCAGACUUUUUCCUGGACUCCCUGCCGGCUAGCUGUGGCGCACUAUCCCCCUUCAGGCUGUGUUCACGCAAGCAGCCCCGGUCCUCUCCCUGGGAUCUGACCUCCGAAGCCCGAGCCUCAGCUCCCAGCCCCCACCCACCCCGGCGGGUGAGCAGACAAGCCUCUCGGGCUGAGCUCUUGGAAAUCUUCACAGUGGAGGUGACUUAAAGUGAAGUUGAAGCUGCCAAAAUUUCACCUGUCCCAGUGGACCAGGCAUAUAAUUAAUGGCUAAUUUGAUACGUAUGGAUUUCGUUUAAUGGAAUAAAUCAUUUGAUUUUUGCCUCUCCAAUCUCUAGUGAUACAUAUAGUUCAACAUUUUCCUGAGCCACCAUUUCCCUCUACAUAGGACCUGACUUGAUAUUUGAGAAAAGCUCAACUAUGGAAUGAAAAAGCAGGAAUGAAUGGCCUCCAAAUCUUAAUUUUUUUGUCAGUUGCUACUCCUCUUGAUUGAGGGAUACUAGCCUUUGCAUAGCUGUUGUGAAAAAGGAGAUGACCAGAAGAAAUUCACCUUCCGGUGGCAGCUGCCACCAACACACAGAAGCACUCACUCAAGAUGGCUUAAAGGAGACAGUGACUCAAUGUACGACUAGAAAAUUGAGCAA
Molecule: long non-coding RNA, 6492 nt
Organism: Orcinus orca (killer whale)
Lineage: Eukaryota; Metazoa; Chordata; Mammalia; Artiodactyla; Delphinidae
Exons: 9
Source: RefSeq, a predicted model, not a curated record